RNAcentral lists this ribosomal RNA (506 nucleotides) under uncultured bacterium. RNAcentral's name for it is "partial 16S ribosomal RNA". It matches the Rfam family "Bacterial small subunit ribosomal RNA", at positions 28 to 523 of the family's 1533-position model. The record is from RNAcentral.
GAUGAACGCUAGCUACAGGCUUAACACAUGCAAGUCGAGGGGUAACGAGAGGAAAGCUUGCUUUCCUUGUCGACGACCGGCGCACGGGUGAGUAACGCGUAUCCAACCUGCCCCCAACUAGGGAAUAACCUUGCGAAAGUAAGACUAAUACCCUAUAAUUUCCUCAGAUGUCAUCUGACGAGGAAUAAAGAUUUAUCGGUUGUGGAUGGGGAUGCGUCUGAUUAGCUUGUUGGCGGGGUAACGGCCCACCAAGGCAACGAUCAGUAGGGGUUCUGAGAGGAAGGUCCCCCACACUGGUACUGAGACACGGACCAGACUCCUACGGGAGGCAGCAGUGAGGAAUAUUGGUCAAUGGGCGAGAGCCUGAACCAGCCAAGUCGCGUGAAGGAAGACUGCCCUAUGGGUUGUAAACUUCUUUUGUAAGGGAAUAAAAAACGUUACGUGUAACGUCUUGUAGGUACCUUACGAAUAAGGAUCGGCUAACUCCGUGCCAGCCGCCGCAGUAA